RNAcentral lists this transfer RNA (138 nucleotides) under Ensifer meliloti. RNAcentral's name for it is "Sinorhizobium meliloti tRNA-Ser". RNAcentral also lists the same sequence under 1 other name. The record is from RNAcentral. Lineage: Bacteria; Pseudomonadati; Pseudomonadota; Alphaproteobacteria; Hyphomicrobiales; Rhizobiaceae.
GCAAGAGGUGAAACAGGAAAAAUCUAUUAAAUACAGGCCAUUGUGCGCAUGCUCGCAUUUUCUCGCAUUUUCUCGCACAGCGCCUUUCCUAGACUACGAAUCUGGGGGUCAGGAGUUCGAAUCUCUUCGGGUGCGCCA